AAAUCAUUCUUCUAUCCUUUUGUUAUUAUAGUUCUGAUUUUAUUGUGUAUGGUUUUAUAUAACUGUCACCUUAGUUGUACAUUGAGGAAGAGAGUACAGAAAUUAAUCCAUAAUGCUGAACAGAAACAAUUAGAAAUUCUCCUCUCUGCCACUGGAGGGUAUCAACCCAUCUUUAAACUGGGCCUUAGGAAUUACCACAUGGGAAUCGAGGUGAAGAAAUUAAUGAAAGUCCCGCAGGGAGUGACUAGCACCCCUGAAAAUACCAUGUGGAGGUUUCUCUGUCCUGGUAAGAUUUUAUCGAUAAGAUGAGCAA
Non-coding RNA from Pelobates cultripes (western spadefoot toad), 313 nucleotides. The record is from the annotation of a GenBank genome assembly. Lineage: Eukaryota; Metazoa; Chordata; Amphibia; Anura; Pelobatidae.